AUACUUACCUGGCGUAGGGGUUACAGUGAUCGCGAAGGCGGUUCCCCCGGAAUGAGGCAUUGCAUGAGGCCAUUGCACUUUCGGUUGAGUUGACCUCCGCGAUUAUUCCUAAUGCGAAUAACUCGUGCGUGUAAUUUUUGAUAGUUCAUAGAUUCCAAAAGCAUGAU
Molecule: small nuclear RNA, 167 nt
Filed under: Glossina austeni
Lineage: Eukaryota; Metazoa; Arthropoda; Insecta; Diptera; Glossinidae
Description: U1 spliceosomal RNA
Rfam family: U1 spliceosomal RNA
About the family: U1 is a small nuclear RNA (snRNA) component of the spliceosome (involved in pre-mRNA splicing). Its 5' end forms complementary base pairs with the 5' splice junction, thus defining the 5' donor site of an intron. There are significant differences in sequence and secondary structure between metazoan and yeast U1 snRNAs, the latter being much longer (568 nucleotides as compared to 164 nucleotides in human).
Source: RNAcentral